UACCCGAUGGUGUAACGGUAGCACAAGGGAUUUUGGUUCCCUUUGUCAUGGUUCGAAUCCAUGUCGGGUAGCCA
Molecule: transfer RNA, 74 nt
Filed under: Blastochloris sp.
Lineage: Bacteria; Pseudomonadati; Pseudomonadota; Alphaproteobacteria; Hyphomicrobiales; Blastochloridaceae
Description: tRNA-Gln
Rfam family: tRNA
About the family: Transfer RNA (tRNA) molecules are approximately 80 nucleotides in length.
Source: RNAcentral